Molecule: long non-coding RNA, 509 nt
Filed under: Drosophila guanche
Lineage: Eukaryota; Metazoa; Arthropoda; Insecta; Diptera; Drosophilidae
Source: RNAcentral
CACUCAGAGAGAAAUUCGUGCUUUCCAAACUCCCAGAUUUUCAAGUAAUCGACGAUUACAUAUAUUAUCGUACAGGUUUUUCCGUGUUGGAUUCUGACCAAGCCGAUGAGUCGUGGAAAUUAUUUGUUCCCGAAGCCUUGAGACAGGGCGUAAUUAAAGCUGCGCAUGACCAACCUUCCUCUGCACAUUGUGGGAUUACCAAAUGCCUCGACCAAAUAAGGCAACGAUUUUACUGGCCAAAAAUGGUUAUAGACGUCCGCGAUUAUAUUUCCGCAUGUGAUGUAUGCCAGACCACAAAACAUCCCACACGCUCUCUCAAACCUCCUAUGGGUGCUAGAGUAGUUAGCGAACGUCCCUUUCAACGGUUGUACAUCGAUUUCAUUGGUCCCUUUCCUCGAAGCAGAAAGGGCAACAUAGGAAUAUUUAUCAUCCUGGAUCACUUCUCAAAAUUUACCUUCUUAAAGGCGGUCAAGAAAUUUACUUCCCAGAUAGUGAUUGACAUAUUGAGG